GCAGUGUGGUUUUCAGUAGCGUUCCGAUGCUCUGCUUUUGGUUCUCGAUAGAAGGGACCGCAGGCUGGUGGUGUACCGGCUCCUGGUCUGAACUGUUGCCCGGCUCGGGUCCGCCUCCCUCCGCCAUGCUGCAACCAACAGCUAUUUAGAACAUGCCAGUUGGUAAGUCUUUGCUGAACAUGCCAGAGAGGUCCAAGUCCUUGCUCAUCAAGUCCUCUUCCACACUGUCCAAUGCCCAGUGAUGGUCAGUCAGCUCUAAUGCCUCCCAUUCAGCCUAUAAACAGAAGAAAAAGGCAUCGCCAUAGCAGCACCGCUUAUUUGGUCCUGCAUGAGGCGCGACUGAUCAGCACCUGUUCCAAAACAAUAUUGCUCAUUACAAUAUUCACUAUAUGCUCAAAAGUACUUGGACAUCUAACCAUGAGCUUGUUGGACAUCUCAAUUCAGAAACAAAUAAUAUUAAAAUAGUGACCUCUGUAAAGUCCUCAAUACUUAAAAUGUCAUUAUACUAAAAUAAUUAUUAAUUUAAAAUAGAAUGUGUAAUUUCACCUCUUAUAUCAUUAGACAAAAUUCACACGAAAAGACAAACCAGGUCAGUUUCAGCUUGUAAUAAAAUUUAAACACAAAACUAACUGAACACUGAUGCCCUGCUGCACAUUUUGUAUUUAUUUGUUCAGGUUGUUAUUUUUUAAUUCUGCAGUUUAAGUCUGCAGUUAGUGGAUUAGCAGUGGGUGAGGCUAAUCGGUUGUACCCAGGUCUUUCUUGCCCUCUGUAUGAUCACAGAUAACCACUGUUUCCAGUGCAGUCCACUCAUUUGUAAACAUAAAUAAAUUGCUGAUGCCAUUUAUUGCAGUUUUACAUUCUAACGUAUGAC
Molecule: long non-coding RNA, 871 nt
Organism: Trichomycterus rosablanca
Lineage: Eukaryota; Metazoa; Chordata; Actinopteri; Siluriformes; Trichomycteridae
Exons: 3
Source: RefSeq, a predicted model, not a curated record